This is a long non-coding RNA of Mauremys reevesii (Reeves's turtle), 335 nucleotides long. RefSeq lists it as uncharacterized. The transcript has 3 exons. The record is from RefSeq and is a predicted model, not a curated record. Lineage: Eukaryota; Metazoa; Chordata; Testudines; Geoemydidae.
UGCUUUACGGGAGCUGUGUUUUUUCUGGCUUCUGGAUAACCAAUAAGGGGUUUGCUGUUAGUCCAGCCUGCUUCAGGGAGCGAAGCAUGGCCGCAACUUGGGCCAGAUGUCGUUCCCAGGUUCAACUGUAGAUGACUACAUCAUCUAAAUAGGCUGUGGCUUACAAGUUCAAAACCUGGUCCAUAAGACCAGGUUCCCCGGGGCCGUCUCCCAUACAAGAGCUAGAAUGGCGAGAACCCAGUAGAGGAUUGUGGGACUUCCCGAAUGGCAAACAGGAGUGGAGAGGGGAUCAGUUGAUCCCAAUUAAAAAGCUCUUCUGGUAUAAACCUUCUCAA